Molecule: long non-coding RNA, 3815 nt
Filed under: Nothobranchius furzeri (turquoise killifish)
Lineage: Eukaryota; Metazoa; Chordata; Actinopteri; Cyprinodontiformes; Nothobranchiidae
Description: lncRNA (ENSNFUG00015003036.1)
Source: RNAcentral
GAAAGCUUUGAAGUCCAGGAGUAUUUGUGCACGGGGAAAUUAAAUCCCACAAUGCCUUCGGAGCAACUUCCAAACAUAGGCCCCAAACUCCAGGAGCUGCAGCUCCACCAGCAGGCACAGAGCAUAAUUUUAAAAUCUAUAUUUACAUGAAUGACUGAACGACUGAAGACAGAGCUUCUUUCUAUUGAGUCUGCAUCAUGACAUCGGCUGAGAAGCGUCGCUCGAGCAGAAAGAGUGGUGGACGCCGAAAGCACAGCGACGGGGGCUUCAGCGACGCCUCCAGCGGUGGGUCCUUCCUGGAUGAGGCCGACCGCGAGGUCAGCAGUCUGACGGACAGAGCGUUCAGAAGUCUCUGCAUCGGAGAGGAGGCUGUUUAUAAUGACUCUGACCUCAGUCUGUCUUCACCAAGCAUCCAGAGAGACAGACAGCUGACCUUUAACCAAGACAGAAACAUGGAGGUGAGAGACUGGGAGGAACAAAAGAGAGCUGCACAUGAGAAUUUCAGCCUCAGGGUGCAGCAGUAUGGACAGGACUGGAUGCUCGGGGGGAUGUGUGGAGCAGAGAUCCACAGAGAUCCACAGUGGCAAGAUUAUGGCGCGAGGAUGCAAGGGAUGGUUUCUGCCACAUUCCAGCACUCCUUGGUGGAAACUUGUCAGCAGGGAAACCCUCUGAGGGAGGGGGAGCUUUCUUUCUUUAGCAAUGGAGCAACAGAGUUGAGGUCACAGCAGCGCAGAAGCCACUCCAGAGUUUCUUCUCUCGUCAGAGCCUUCAACGCUGAGGGCCGCAGGGACGAAGAAGGAAUAGAUAAUAAUCCAGGGGUGUGGAGUGAUGGGACAGGUUGGGACAGAGCGGCUCUUGUGAGCGUCCAGAAGGAACUUUCUGAACUCUCUACAUCAUACCAGCACAAUUCUGAUGGUCAUCACUUCCCUUCUGCAACUCUGUUUUCACCUCAGGACACCGGUUUCUGUCCCCCCCAUGGAAUGGCUCGAAUGUCCCAGGUGAAACACAACAUGUCUGCACAGGUCAGCUGCAACUCCAACUUCUUCAUUCACAGCGAGUUCAGUCCCUUCAGGCUAUGGAGGGAACACAACAGGUUUCCUUUCCAGCAAGGAGACAUCUCUGGCUUCAUGCAGCGUUCAGAGUUUCCAAAAUGGUACAACACGCCGAUGUACAACGAGCUUUCGCUUGAAAACCAGUCACACGCUCCCUAUAGGGAUCUCAGAGACUCAAGGAAUCACCUGGGACUCACAGCUCCCCCACCUCGGUCCACUUCAACGUCCACGGUGCUGCAGAAAGCUUCAGCCAUGGAGAAACGCUGCGAGUCAGAGCUGGCGGGCCAUUAUCCUCACAGGAAGUGGACACAAAGUCUGGGCGCUAACAAACUUCCAUCCCAACGUCCAUCAACGGCUUCGCCCACCACUGAGAUGUCUCGACGGGUCAGAGACACCAUCAGCUCUGUCAAAGCUCUCCAGCAAAAGCUGAAAACGAUGUCUGAUCAGAACACGACAACAGAAAAGACAACAAAUCAAACAAACCAAGGAGGACUUUCUGGGCACGAAAGGUUGGGCAACCAUGGCAACACCGCAGUGACACUAGAGGCUAAUGCAGUCAGCACCAGCAGGCUGCUCACACCUGCAGCCCAAUGGGAAGCAGAGACGUUAUGUCUCAAGCAGCAUGACGUUUCUCCUCAACCGGUGGAGCAUCCUCCUGUACGAGCUGGGAGCAGGGGAGGCACUCCUGAUGUCAGGAUGUCCAGCUACAAAUCUAGAGCUACGAGUCUCCUCUUCAAUCUCAAAGAUAACAGGAAGAGAGUAAAAAGCACCUACAGCCCUGCCAAAUUUAAAGGUUUGGAGAUUCAGGAGAAACCGAAACAGCCUUCAGUGCAAGAGACAUCUCAGCCUGUGACGCAAAUCCCUGUUUCUACAGAUGCGGACAUUCAAGAACCCAAAAGAACUACAGUGAACCAUCAUUACAACCCUGGACUAUCACUCACAGCUCAAACACACCAACCUGAAGGAGUGAAUCCAGAAAACAACGUUGGCGAUUACCAAACAGUGCAGGCGCAAGGUCAGACGGUUCAUCAUGCUGGCUUUAGUGGCUUCAUCCCUGAGAACUGCAUUAACUAUCAGCUGGCUAAUGGACAGAAUCCUCAUGAAAACGUAGCAUCGUUUACUCCCCGUAAGCGAGAUUAUCUUGGAUCAGCGGAGCAGCUUCAGCAGUCUGAUUCUGCCACAGACGCAUCAAGGUUAAACACUGCAAACAGUCACAGCAGAGAAUAUUUAAGAAGCCAAGCUCAUUCUGAGCAGGCUUUCAAUGAACCAGUGGGAGGAGUACUCUCAAAGGUGAAAAGGUAUGAGCAGAUGAGAGAAAACAAAGACAUUUACAAAAGUGUGUCCUCACAGGAUAGAUGGAGGCAGGUACGUAGCCAAGAGAUGGAGAAGUUCAGUCUGAAACCAGCUUUGUUUCAAUCAAAACACGAUGUUUUAACAGAAACGUCACAAGAAGAGACCCGGUCAGGUAGAGGUAAAGAGAAAACAGAGCUGGGGGAGAGCUCGGUUCAUGGAGAACAGGAACAGGGGGGACGACAAGAGCAAAAGACAAAAGAAGACAGUUUAAUGCAGAUUUGUGAUGAAAGUUUCGAUCAACAUCACAGAAAGCAAGUCGAUCUUUAUCCUGCGACAGAGACGCAAAACCCGGGUCAGGUUGAACAACACACGUCCUUUCUAAAAGAGGAGGAAACAGAAAGUCAACAGCUAAUUAAAAUUCAUCAAAAGGGUGAAAUCCCUGAAGACACGCCUGCCCAAAUGCAUCAGAUGCAAGACAAACUGCAUGUUGACAGCAAGGAUGAAGACGCCACAGCGAAACACAAAACGGGUCAAAAGUCCAAAGCAGAGGAUCAACACAAGGUUCAAGUAGAGCAGCCCAAAGGAGAGCCGCUUGAUGUCACUUCAGCUGAGAAGUCGAUUAAAAUAGAGGAGUCCAAAUCAGACCCAACAAAAACUAAGAGUUUAAGACAAACCCAUGAAGAGAUUAAAGAGGAGAAGAGGAGAGGAGAACAGGACGAGCAGGUCGGAGAAAAAGAACCAGAGACAGAUGGAGAGAAAGAAACAAAAACAAUUCAGCUGAUUUCAGACGAGGCUGAAAUUAUUACAGAUGAAGUCGGGUGUGAGCACGCGAGAGAGGAGCAGGUGAAAGCAGAGAUCACAGAAACAGAGGAGCUAAAAAAGGAACAUGUUCAAAUCCAACCUGCAAAGUCUGAGGAGGCUGAGACGGUUAGAGCACAACAAGCUGUCAUAGAAGAAGCCACAGGGAAAAGUAUAAAACCAGAGGAGGAGAUCGAGGCUGAACGAGUCAAGACAGAAAAUACUAAACAAACUGAAGACAGAAAAACACAGCAAGCAGAUGAAAUGAAGGAGACACAAACCAAAACCGAAGGAAUCAAAGUUAAAGCAUCAGAGGCUGAAAGAGACUGCGUUACAGCUGAGAAUGUCCGACGACCUAAGGAUGUGAAAGAUUCGAGUAGUAAAGGUGAAGUGAGCUCACAUAAAGCAGAAAUCCUGGCCAGAGAGACAAAAGGCAAACAGGAAAAGGUAGAAGAAAACAAACAGGAGCGGUCUAAAGCAGUAAACCUGAAGGAGAGCUCCGAAAACCUCACAGCUAAACUUACAGCAGCUCAGCCGGUCAGAAAUGAACCAGACAGAGUCGAGCAAGUCAAGUCAGAGUUAGCUAAAGCUAAAGCAGAGUUAGCCAAAAUAAAGGAGAAGAUGAGAGGAGACCAAAAGGAGAAAGUAAAAAACAAUGCAGCCGACCUCUGA